GUCUACGGCCAUGCUACCCUGAACAAGCCCAAUCCCGUCUGAUCUUGGAAGCUAAGCAAGAUCAGGCCUGGUUAGUACUUGGAUGGGAGAUCACCUAGGAAGACCAGGUGCUGUAGGCG
Molecule: ribosomal RNA, 119 nt
Filed under: Pteropus alecto (black flying fox)
Lineage: Eukaryota; Metazoa; Chordata; Mammalia; Chiroptera; Pteropodidae
Source: RNAcentral